This 76-nucleotide transfer RNA is filed under the name Salmonella enterica subsp. enterica serovar Senftenberg. Its description in RNAcentral is "tRNA-His". It matches the Rfam family "tRNA". Rfam says of the family: Transfer RNA (tRNA) molecules are approximately 80 nucleotides in length. The record is from RNAcentral. Lineage: Bacteria; Pseudomonadati; Pseudomonadota; Gammaproteobacteria; Enterobacterales; Enterobacteriaceae. RNAcentral also lists the same sequence under 25 other names.
GUGGGCGUAGCUCAGCUGGUAGAGCACCGCGUUGUGGUCGCGGGGGUCGCGGGUUCAAGCCCCGUCGCUCACCCCA